RNAcentral lists this ribosomal RNA (253 nucleotides) under uncultured bacterium. RNAcentral describes it as "partial 16S ribosomal RNA". It matches the Rfam family "Bacterial small subunit ribosomal RNA", at positions 524 to 776 of the family's 1533-position model. The record is from RNAcentral.
UACGUAGGGAGCAAGCGUUGUCCGGAAUCAUUGGGCGUAAAGCGCGCGUAGGUGGCCUCGUAAGUCCGCUGUGAAAGUCGAAGGCUCAACCUUUGAAAGCCGGUGGAUACUGUGAGGCUAGAGUACGGAAGAGGCGAGUGGAAUUCCUGGUGUAGCGGUGGAAUGCGCAGAUAUCAGGAGGAACACCAAUAGCGAAGGCAGCUCGCUGGGACGUAACUGACACUGAGGCGCGAAAGCGUGGGGAGCGAACAGG